This 749-nucleotide long non-coding RNA is filed under the name Zostera marina. RNAcentral describes it as "long non-coding RNA (ZMAR_LNC006142)". Lineage: Eukaryota; Viridiplantae; Streptophyta; Magnoliopsida; Alismatales; Zosteraceae. The record is from RNAcentral.
AUCUUUUCAAAAAGUCUUUUUCAUCUCUAUUUUUCCAACACUCUCUCUCAUUUCAUUCACUUUCUCGUUUCUCUCAUUUGCUUCCAUUUCUCUCUACCGACGUCUACGGUGAGCUUCAUUUUCUCUAACGACGACGUCUCUGUUCCACGACGCGAGUUUCUUGUUAGUGUUUAUUGUUCUCGGUUCCGUUAUCGUCUUCUCGUUUUCCGCAUUCGCCGUUUGAGGUAUCGUCGUCUUUUAGUCGGUUUUCCGGUAUCGCAGUCUCUAUUCCAGUGGUCACUGAUCGUUGUUCCUGUCGCUGUUCGUCUAUCAUCUUUCCCUCUGUCCUCACUGAUUAAGAAAAGGUUACUGAUGAAGUCCGGUCAUGUUUUAUUUGAUUUAUUUUCGUUAAUUAGCAGUGAUGAAGUCAGGUUAGUGAUGAACCCCCAUCGCCCCCCAUUCACCAAAAUUUGUUAUUUUAAUGUUCAUCAUUCCCCCGUCAUUUUCGAAUUACUACUCCGGCUACUGUUGUAAUGUAAAUAUUUUUUGAUAGGUGUUGUUCCCUUAUUUGAAGUGUGAGGGUUUUUGAAGUAUUAGGGCUUUCGUCCCUUUAUUGUUAAUUAGUUGUUCUGUAAAAGGUUUCCCCACUCCCUCUGAAAUUUUGGACGUGUUUUUUUUGUUGUUACGUUUAUUUUGGUUACCAUUUUAUUUGUCGUUUGUAUGUUCAAGCUAUUGUUCCUUUAACAGUAGAAUCCCUGUCCUGUUCGAGA